Molecule: small nuclear RNA, 19 nt
Filed under: Arabidopsis thaliana (thale cress)
Lineage: Eukaryota; Viridiplantae; Streptophyta; Magnoliopsida; Brassicales; Brassicaceae
Description: snRNA_05577
Source: RNAcentral
UUGCUGAUCAGCAGAAGAA